RNAcentral lists this ribosomal RNA (481 nucleotides) under uncultured bacterium. RNAcentral describes it as "partial 16S ribosomal RNA". It matches the Rfam family "Bacterial small subunit ribosomal RNA", at positions 28 to 523 of the family's 1533-position model. The record is from RNAcentral.
GACGAACGCUGGCGGCGUGCUUAACACAUGCAAGUCGAGCGGAAAGGCCACUUCGGUGGUACUCGAGCGGCGAACGGGUGAGUAACACGUGAGUAAUCUGCCCCUGGCUUUGGGAUAGCCACCGGAAACGGUGAUUAAUACCGGAUACGACCACUUCUCGCAUGGGAUGGUGGUGGAAAGUUUUUUCGGCCAGGGAUGUGCUCGCGGCCUAUCAGCUUGAUGGUGAGGUAAUGGCUCACCAUGGCUUCGACGGGUAGCCGGCCUGAGAGGGUGACCGGUCACACUGGGACUGAGUCACGGCCCAGACUCCUACGGGAGGCAGCAGUGGGGAAUAUUGGACAAUGGGCGGAAGCCUGAUCCAGCAACGCCGCGUGAGGGAUGACGGCCUUCGGGUUGUAAGCCUCCUUCAGCAGGGACGAAGCGCAAGUGACGGUACCUGCAGAAGAAGCACCGGCCAACUUCGUACCAGCCGCCGCCGUAA